This 509-nucleotide ribosomal RNA is filed under the name uncultured microorganism. Its description in RNAcentral is "bacterial SSU rRNA". It matches the Rfam family "Bacterial small subunit ribosomal RNA", at positions 9 to 511 of the family's 1533-position model. The record is from RNAcentral.
GAGUUUGAUCCUGGCUCAGGAUGAACGCUGGCGGCGUGCUUAACACAUGCAAGUCGAACGAAGCGCCUUAUUUGAUUUUUCUUCGGAACUGAAGAUUUGGUGACUGAGUGGCGGACGGGUGAGUAACGCGUGGGUAACCUGCCCUGUACAGGGGGAUAACAAUCAGAAAUGACUGCUAAUACCGCAUAAGACCACAGCACCGCAUGGUGCAGGGGUAAAAACUCCGGUGGUACAGGAUGGACCCGCGUCUGAUUAGCUGGUUGGUGAGGUAACGGCUCACCAAGGCGACGAUCAGUAGCCGGCUUGAGAGAGUGAACGGCCGACAUUGGGACUGAGACACGGCCCAAACUCCUACGGGAGGCAGCAGUGGGGAAUAUUGCACAAUGGGGGAAACCCUGAUGCAGCAACGCCGCGUGAGUGAAGAGUAUUUCGGUAUGUAAAGCUCUAUCAGCAGGGAAGAAAGUGACGGGUACCUGACUAACGAAGCCCCGGCUAACCGUACGUGCCAC